RNAcentral lists this unclassified non-coding RNA (240 nucleotides) under soil metagenome. RNAcentral describes it as "partial contains 5.8S ribosomal RNA, internal transcribed spacer 2, and large subunit ribosomal RNA". The record is from RNAcentral.
AACCAUAGAAACCUGCGGAGUACCUGCGGAAGGAUCAUUACCGAGUCACAUGCUCAAAUAACCCUUCUGUGGACCUGAAAUAAAACCGUUGCCUCGGCGGGCGGUCCCCCCAACCAAACCCCACGUGGUGGGUUAGGGGACCAGACAGUCCGGCACGCUUAAGGCGUCCGGCGCCAGCCGCUGGCCCCAAACAAUUAAACUCCUAGUAACCUUUACCUUCUGAGUUUCAAUAUUUUAAAA